This 396-nucleotide ribosomal RNA is filed under the name Haustorius galvezi. Its description in RNAcentral is "partial 16S ribosomal RNA". It matches the Rfam family "Bacterial large subunit ribosomal RNA", at positions 1949 to 2623 of the family's 2925-position model. Lineage: Eukaryota; Metazoa; Arthropoda; Malacostraca; Amphipoda; Haustoriidae. The record is from RNAcentral.
UGCUAAGGUAGCGCAAUCAAUUGUUGGUUAAUUGCUAACUGGUAUGAAAGGUCUAAUUAUUUAAGUACUUUGUCUGUGUUUGUAAGGUUAGAUUUUAAGUAAAAAUACUUAGAUAAUUAAAGGGGCGAUAAGACCCCAAAAGCUUUAUUUAGAUUAUAUUUGACUGGGGUAGUAGGUUUAUAAUAAUUACGAUAAUAUAAGGUUAAGAUUCUUUAAUUAAAGAUAGAAGGAGUAAGUUACUUUGGGGGUAACAGCGUUAUUAUCUCGGAAAGACCAUAUUUAUGAGAUUUAUUGCGACCUCGAUGUUGAAUUAAAAUAUCUACCAGAGGCAGUAAAUUGGCUAGAGAGUUUGUUCAACUUUUAAAAUUUUACAUGAUCUGAGUCACAAACACGGAA